AAAUGAAUAGACGGGGGCCCGCACAAGCGGUGGAGCAUGUGGUUUAAUUCGACGCAACGCGAAGAACCUUACCAGGUCUUGACAUCCCCUGGCCGCGCAAGAGAUUGCGAAUUCAUCUUCGGAUGACAGGGAGACAGGUGGUGCAUGGUUGUCGUCAGCUCGUGUCGUGAGAUGUUGGGUUAAGUCCCGCAACGAGCGCAACCCUUGUUCUUAGUUGCCAGCAAGUAAAGUUGGGCACUCUAAGGAUACUGCCGGUGACAAACCGGAGGAAGGUGGGGAUGACGUCAAAUCAUCAUGCCCUUUAUGACCUGGGCUACACACGUGCUACAAUGGCCUGUACAAAGGGUAGCGAAGCAGUGAUGCGGAGCCAAUCCCAAAAAGCAGGUCUCAGUUCGGAUUGCAGGCUGCAACUCGCCUGUAUGAAGUCGGAAUCGCUAGUAAUCGCGGAUCAGCAUGCCGCGGUGAAUACGUUCCCGGGCCUUGUACACACCGCCCGU
This 497-nucleotide ribosomal RNA is filed under the name uncultured bacterium. RNAcentral describes it as "bacterial SSU rRNA". It matches the Rfam family "Bacterial small subunit ribosomal RNA", at positions 903 to 1397 of the family's 1533-position model. The record is from RNAcentral.